This 182-nucleotide non-coding RNA is filed under the name Deltaproteobacteria bacterium. RNAcentral describes it as "6S RNA". It matches the Rfam family "6S / SsrS RNA". From Rfam's summary of the family: E. coli 6S RNA was the first non coding RNA to be sequenced, but its function was unknown until recently. Lineage: Bacteria; Pseudomonadati; Myxococcota; Myxococcia. The record is from RNAcentral.
GUUCCCCUGCUGUACUCGUGAUGGACGGUUGAUCUUGAGCCAACACGAAUUUGAAUGGGAGCUGUCUCUGGCUGUGGAUGAUAUGUUCCGUACAGGAAAAAUUAGAAGCAGUUAUCAUAGCGCCCACCUAUUGUGAAAUAGGUUCAGAUUCAAUGCCUCCACACGGUACAAGUGGGGGAUCU